RNAcentral lists this ribosomal RNA (243 nucleotides) under uncultured bacterium. RNAcentral describes it as "partial 16S ribosomal RNA". It matches the Rfam family "Bacterial small subunit ribosomal RNA", at positions 534 to 776 of the family's 1533-position model. The record is from RNAcentral.
GCAAGCGUUACUCGGAAUUACUGGGCGUAAAGCGCACGUAGGCGGCUUUUCAAGUCAGGGGUGAAAUCCCGGGGCUCAACCCCGGAACUGCCUCUGAAACUGGAUGGCUAGAAUCUUGGAGAGGCGAGUGGAAUUCCGAGUGUAGAGGUGAAAUUCGUAGAUAUUCGGAAGAACACCAGUGGCGAAGGCGACUCGCUGGACAAGUAUUGACGCUGAGGUGCGAAAGCGUGGGGAGCAAACAGG